Nerophis ophidion (straightnose pipefish) is the source of this 2265-nucleotide long non-coding RNA. RefSeq lists it as uncharacterized. The transcript has 6 exons. The record is from RefSeq and is a predicted model, not a curated record. NCBI's taxonomy places the organism in Eukaryota, Metazoa, Chordata, Actinopteri, Syngnathiformes, Syngnathidae.
GAGAAGUGGUAAGUGCAGUUACCUGCCGGAAGUACUCACACCUGUGAAGACUUCAAAGUGAAGACAUGAAGUGUUAAGUCGCUGUGUUGGUCAGGAAGCCAGGAUGCAGAGAAGCCUGGCUAACUUGGCAGUAAGAGGGAGGAUACAUGGGCUUAUUGUUCUUCCACCAUAGAACCCUGCCUGACUCACCAAGGAGAGGCUGCUUGAAUGCGGUGGUGACGCUUCAAAUGGGUUUUGGUGAGAAAAUGGUGGUAAUAAGUUGGCUCUUACCGGAGACAUCAACGGAUCUUGCGUCCUCUUGCAGCUGCUGUUCUUGGCUCCUCCAUGGCUUCCAUCAGAGACACUUGCGGUCAACACAGUCCUCCGACUUUCAGCGCUUCACUCUAACUUUCCUCCUCCACUAAUCUUUCAUCCUCGCUCAAAUUAAUGGGGAAAUCGUCGCUUUCUCGGUCCGAAUCGCUCUUGCUGCUGGUGGCUAUGAUUAUAAACAAUGUGAGGAUGUGAGGAGCCCGACAACCCGUGACGUCCCGCGCACACCGUCUGUUACAGGCAAGGGUUUUUUAUUAGCGACCAAAAGUUGCGAACUUUAUCGUCGAUGUUCUGUACUAAAUCCUUUCAGCAAAAAUAUGGCAAUAUGGCGAAAUGAUGAAGUAUGACACAUAGAAUGGAGCUGCUAUCCCCGUUUAAAUAAGAACAUCUCAUUUCAGUAGGACUUUAAGCUGUGACAGCAUGUGUGGUGAGUGUGUGGGCGAGCGAAGUGAGGGAGCAGUAGGUGAGUGUUGCGAGUGGUUAGUGUUUUGUUGGAUUGGCUGUGUGCCAGACCUCAAUAAAGCCACGAUUUGCAACUAAUCGCCGGACUCUUCAUUUACCUUUGAGUCUGGAGCUGUGGAGACCCACUGCCGGUUAGAGUGAAGGGUAUUGCCCCCGAGAAUACAUCGGCCCUGGAGGAGUGUCUCCCCUGCGUUCCUCGACUACGGUCUGGGAGCCGGAAGCAGGAAAGGUGCAACACAUGUUUGACUUGUUGCCAGAAGCAUUUGCUGAACAAUGUCGGCAAACCUCCGUCCUCCAUUGUUGUAUCGCGCAGCCAAAGUGUUUCCAAAUGGGAGAUCUUAACGAGGCAGGAGGGUGUUUCAGCUCUGGCUUUUACAUCUUGUCCUAGCCUGGUCGCUGCUAGCAUGUGUACUCGUUUGGUACACCUCCGAACUGAAACCCCCGUACCGAAAGGGUUUAAUACAAACACACGUACCGUUACACCCCUACAAACUUACUUUCCAAAGAAACCGGUGCGUCUGUAGGAGACAGGUAUGCGGUCUUUCGUGUCGAUAUUCAGCUCCUCUUCCGCAGCUCUCAGUUUCUCCUCAAAUUUGUCAAUGUUGGCGACCUGCAUCCGAUACAUGAGCGCGAUCCUCUAUACCCGAAAUGGAGGAAACGUUAGCCAUGAUAUCUCUCAGGUCGGUUGAUAUGAAAGUGUACAUACAGGCUUCCCGAAGAUGACUGCCCCGGGGUGCAGGUAGAUUUCCACGAUGUCGCUCUCAGGAACCACCAGGACACGGGACACCUCUCCCUUAGCCAGCAUCUCGUUGACGAAGUCAUUCCAAGAGAUGUUGCCGACGCUGGUGUUGAUGGAGUUUAUCAAGAGCAAGAAGAUGCCCACUAAUAGAAGGAUUCUCAGGCGCUCUCGGUGCAGCUGCUCCUUCUGCUCGCGAUGCUUCUUCUCCUCUGCGUAGGAAAAACAACAUUUUGAGAAGAUAGUUGACUGAAGCGCACAAACGUAGUGACUCAGGACAAUUUUAACUAAGGGUGUCCUGAUCCAAUAUUGAUAAACAAAAAACAAGUAUUGGAUGAUAUCGGUGUUCAUCUAAAAUCUUUGAUACAAGCAGUCCUGCUGAGUUUUGACUCGUGCAAAGCUGGACAGACAGUUUACAUCUAAAUGUCCAUCUUAUGUUGUAUUUUCCCUUUGUAUCAUUUUUGGUAAUGUAUGUAUUCUUUGCAUUUUUAUUUUGCAUGCUCCUAUAUCAGGGGUCAGGAACCUUUUCGGAUGAAAGAGCCAUGAAAGCCAAAUAUUUUAAAAUGUAUUUCCAUAACAUAUUUUUUAACACUGAAUACAACUAAAUGCGUGCAUUUUUUAAGUAAAACCAACAUUUUUAGAGUAUAGUAAGUCUCUAAUUAUUUUUAAUAACAAUGUUAUUUCUUGAACGGGUGCAGUAGAAAACAGAUGGAUGGAUUAAAAUGCAUGAAAAUGUUUUAUAUUUUGAACGUUAUUUU